UACGGAGGAUGCGAGCGUUAUCCGGAUUUAUUGGGUUUAAAGGGUGCGUAGGCGGAUUUUAAGUCAGCGGUAAAAUGUCCGGGCUCAACCCGGGCCGGCCGUUGAAACUGGGGAUCUUGAGUGGGCGAGAAGUAUGCGGAAUGCGUGGUGUAGCGGUGAAAUGCAUAGAUAUCACGCAGAACUCCGAUUGCGAAGGCAGCAUACCGGCGCCCGACUGACGCUGAGGCACGAAAGCGUGGGGAUCGAACAGG
This 251-nucleotide ribosomal RNA is filed under the name uncultured bacterium. RNAcentral describes it as "partial 16S ribosomal RNA". It matches the Rfam family "Bacterial small subunit ribosomal RNA", at positions 524 to 776 of the family's 1533-position model. The record is from RNAcentral.